UGCCUGCCCAGUGACAUAAGUUAAACGGCCGCGGUAUCCUGACCGUGCAAAGGUAGCAUAAUCAUUUGUUCCUUAAAUAGGGACUUGUAUGAAUGGCCACACGAGGGUUUAACUGUCUCUUACUCCCAAUCCGUGAAAUUGACCUUCCAGUGAAGAGGCUGGAAUACAUUAAUAAGACGAGAAGACCCUAUGGAGCUUUAAUUAACUAACUCACAUAUGACUAAACAAACCUAAACCAGGGAUAAAAAACAUAUUCUGAGCUAGCAAUUUCGGUUGGGGUGACCUCGGAGAAUAAAAAAUCCUCCGAAAGAACAAGCCUAGACACUACAAGUCAAAGCAACUAACUAUACAAUUGAUCCAACAAGUUGAUCAAUGGAACCAGUUACCCUAGGGAUAACAGCGCAAUCCUAUUCUAGAGUCCAUAUCGACAAUAGGGUUUACGACCUCGAUGUUGGAUCAGGACAUCCCAAUGGUGCAACCGCUAUUAAUGGUUCGUUUGUUCAACGAUUAAAGUCCUACGUGA
Molecule: ribosomal RNA, 523 nt
Filed under: Tupaia gracilis (slender tree shrew)
Lineage: Eukaryota; Metazoa; Chordata; Mammalia; Scandentia; Tupaiidae
Description: partial 16S large subunit ribosomal RNA
Rfam family: Bacterial large subunit ribosomal RNA
Source: RNAcentral